Long non-coding RNA from Hipposideros armiger (great roundleaf bat), 291 nucleotides. RefSeq lists it as uncharacterized. The record is from RefSeq and is a predicted model, not a curated record. The transcript has 3 exons. Lineage: Eukaryota; Metazoa; Chordata; Mammalia; Chiroptera; Hipposideridae.
CUCUUUCCAACCCGCCUCCGCCCUCACCACCAGGUACUGGGCCAGCAAUCACGCGGCCGUCGGGCCGCUCAAAGGACCUCAAAUGCCAGGCGGGACACAGGAUUGGAUCCCACAGGAGGACAUGGCCACACGUGGCCCAGAAUACAGCCGAGUCCAGCACCACAGCCCAUGCUGUCCUGUUUCAGGAAGCCCCAACCUGAGCAUCCACACUCAACAGCAGGGCAGUCCCCGGUGCUACAAGUGCCUGCUCUGUGAUCUGGAAGUGACUGUCUGUCCCUGUGGCCUUGCCAC